CAUAUUAGGUAAUUAACACUAACACCAUCUCAACAAUUUUCAAAAUGUGCGUGUGUUUGAAUGCGGAGCUCUGUUGAACAGCGAGCUUCUUCUUUUACAUCUUUUGAAUAGCGAGACUUUUUCGCUUGCGCUUGACAGUUGCAGUUUGUUUUGAUUUUUAGUCUCGCGCAUUUUUUUUUUUUUGGCGCAGUGAAUUUACUUCUAAAAUAGUUUUUAUCUGUUUUUAUCAGCGAAAAACACCAAAAUUGAGGAAAAACCGGUCCACAGAAGCCGGCCAGGAACAACUCAUCAACGCACGCAUGCCCUAAUCUUCCGGCUUGUCUGCCGUUGUUCCUGACGUCCACUUGGAGUUGCGCCGGAAGUCAAGCAGCACCGAAACAAGACUUUUGCUACUUUGUACUUGUGGAAGUUUAAUUGUGGCGGGUUCGUGUACGAUACGGUGUCACGCCAGAUUUGAGGAAGUUUGGGGCUUCUUGUCCCGGCUGUCGUGUGUCGUUCGAAUAGUGCAACAAGCCAAAAAGGAAGAAGUGCUGUGGUUGGUGCGGCGGAAAUGCAUUAGUGGCCCACAACUGUGCAUCUUUCUGGCGCUGAAUGGUGCCACCGAACUCCAGCGGCCGCAGGUGGACAAACAGUAGCCUCCAUGUACUCGGUGACGUGCUUCUGGAAGUAACUCACGUGCAGCAAACGGUUGCAGCACAUAAAGAUCAACCCAAACCGCUGGUAGCUGCAACGUGGAUAACUCCUCUCGAAACAGGACGAAAAUCUCUACGCUAAUCGCUGUCAGACUCCGCCCAAACCGUUCCAGUUUAAGGGCUAAAUCGGCUAACGAAUGCUGAAUAACACUGGCACGGGCGGCGACCGCUAGGAAAGCACAAAGUCGGCUUUGUGGGCCGGUGAACCGGUGAGCAAAAAUCGGUCCACUGUUGCAUCGUCGAACAGAACUUGUCAGUGCUGGCGCUGAACAUCCGGCGGGAUGGUGUGAAGAGCAUUCCCGAACUGAAGGAUACGACCAUGCCGCGCCGUCUCGGACUGAAGCUUGCGACCAACAUCCGCAAGGAUGUCAAGGAAGGAAUCUUACCAAGGAGGAAGCCGUUCGUCAGUUUGUGAUGAAGUGCCCACUGCCGGAGAAGGCUAAGUUCAAAACGUCCAAGAACAACCGGCGUGGUGGUGCUGCAGCACUAGAGACGUCGUCUGGUCAGUUUCUGAACCUGUGCCGUCGGAGCAUAUGUGGGUGCCGGAGCCGAUUGUCUUCAAUGCGUGAAUCGCACAUCUCAGUCGGAUUCGAGAAGAAGAAGAACAAGGCUGUUAUCAACGCUGCUGAGUAGUUCCUCCAGAAGGUGACCGAAGCCGCCAAGAAGCGCCACGAGGCCAAGACCACCAAGAAGUUCGAAGGAGGCAGCAAGGAUUCCGCCGGGGACAAGAAAGAAAGAAGAUCGUGAAGAAGGUCGGGGCCGAGAAUGAGGUAUCCAAGAGGAAGCCAGAGAGGGCGAUUCUAUGCGCUGCCAAGAAGGAGAAGAAACAUAGGAAGUAAAACAAUGACCUGACUUGGUGCCUUUAUCUUAAUGGUGACACAGAGCUAGAAAAACCUACCACACUCUGCAGCUAUAGAAUAGACUUAGAUUAAUGGAAAACAUUACAACUCGAUAUUUCCUGUUGAAGCAAUAAA
Molecule: long non-coding RNA, 1666 nt
Organism: Culex pipiens pallens (northern house mosquito)
Lineage: Eukaryota; Metazoa; Arthropoda; Insecta; Diptera; Culicidae
Exons: 4
Source: RefSeq, a predicted model, not a curated record